UUUUAAAAGAAAACUACUAUACAUCAGCCCUUGUAGCAUUGCACUCUUCACACACCUUACGUGGCAUCCCUUUUUUUUUUAAAAAAAAAAAAAAACCCAACACAUGUGUUUUGUAACUUUUGUUGGUUUGUAUUUCUCCGAUUCAAAUUUGCCUCGCGUUCUUGCCUAUCGAUCUCAGCCCGCAUCAAAACUCCUCCCUCGCCCGCGUCGAUUGUGCUUUGCCCACAGCCAUCGGCGACGCCAUCUCUUUCCAGCGACACCGAGGCAGUCUGCACAAGGCCGCCACACCCUUCGUUGCCUAGCUCUCCCCCUCCCCAUCGCUAGUCCAUCUCCUUUUCUUCCUCUCCCCACCCCCACUAGUGUACCGGAUUCACUAAACGCCCAACCCUCGUCACACAGCUCUCCUCCCUCCCCGUCGCCCUCAUUGUCCUAGGUGCGUGUGUGCGUUUCUCUCUCCUUGUUUUUCUUUUCUUUGCUAACUCUCUCAUCUUCCCUGUUUCAGAAUCGAUAUCAACGAAUCUACAUCUCGGCAGCCAGGUGAGUGGUUAUGAUGCCCUAGAGUCCCUCUGUUAUGAUUCUCUUAAAUUGAAUAUUGUAGUAAGGAAAUGUAAGGGAUGUAGUUUCUAUUAGUUUGAAUGUAGUAAGGGAAUGUUGUUAGAAUCUGUUCCUCUGCUACGGUAGUAAGAUCAAGAAAACAGGUAAGCAUAGCAAGUGUUUGAAGAAAAGCUCAAAUGAGCCACAACUCUAUUACAUUGGGUUCUUCGAUGUAGGUACACCGUACACCGUAUUAGGCCUGCAUGUGCUUUUUUCUUUCUAGACCACCCAGCUGGCCAGCUGCCAUCAAACGACGUCAUUGCUAACAAUUAUUUUCUUCUUUUUUU
Molecule: long non-coding RNA, 881 nt
Organism: Juglans microcarpa x Juglans regia
Lineage: Eukaryota; Viridiplantae; Streptophyta; Magnoliopsida; Fagales; Juglandaceae
Exons: 2
Source: RefSeq, a predicted model, not a curated record